Molecule: transfer RNA, 105 nt
Filed under: Candidatus Iainarchaeum sp.
Lineage: Archaea; Nanobdellati; Candidatus Iainarchaeota; Candidatus Iainarchaeia; Candidatus Iainarchaeales; Candidatus Iainarchaeaceae
Description: tRNA-Arg
Source: RNAcentral
GCUCCCGUGGUCUAGCCUGGAUAGAUUAUUUGAGGAAUUAAAUAAUCCCAGUAAGGACGCGAGCUUGCGGAGCUCGUAGCCCGGGUUCAAAUCCCGGCGGGAGCA